Small nucleolar RNA from Vitis vinifera (wine grape), 125 nucleotides. Lineage: Eukaryota; Viridiplantae; Streptophyta; Magnoliopsida; Vitales; Vitaceae. The record is from Rfam.
AUCUCAGAUGCAUGAUUUAUGUGUUUAUUUGAUUCAUGGGAGGCAUACAUCAAUGAUGGGAGUUUCCUGAUGGCACCUUUUGUUAUUCCUUCUUUGCCAUUCCACCGAAGCUACUGCAAUCAGUU